GGGUAACGUCAAGUCUGGGGACUGAGCGGGCCUGUAAAGCCUGCGCCUUUGUGCCUGCCUGGUUCGAUUCCAGGGUUACCCACCA
Molecule: transfer RNA, 85 nt
Filed under: Bradyrhizobium arachidis
Lineage: Bacteria; Pseudomonadati; Pseudomonadota; Alphaproteobacteria; Hyphomicrobiales; Nitrobacteraceae
Also listed under: 2 other names
Description: tRNA-Tyr
Source: RNAcentral